RNAcentral lists this ribosomal RNA (599 nucleotides) under Hepatozoon sp. RNAcentral describes it as "bacterial SSU rRNA". It matches the Rfam family "Eukaryotic small subunit ribosomal RNA", at positions 324 to 913 of the family's 1831-position model. The record is from RNAcentral. Lineage: Eukaryota; Apicomplexa; Hepatozoidae.
GACGGUAAGGUAUUGGCUUACCGUGGCAGUGACGGUUAACGGGGAAUUAGGGUUCAAUUCCGGAGAGGGAGCCUGAGAAACGGCUACCACAUCUAAGGAAGGCAGCAGGCGCGCAAAUUACCCAAUUCUAACAGCAUAAGAGAGGUAGUGACAAGAAAUAACAGUACAAGGCAGUUAAAAUGCUUUGUAAUUGGAAUGAUAGAAAUUUAAAUACUUUUUAAAGUAUCAAUUGGAGGGCAAGUCUGGUGCCAGCAGCCGCGGUAAUUCCAGCUCCAAUAGCGUAUAUUAAAAUUGUUGCAGUUAAAAAGCUCGUAGUUGAAUUUUUGCUAAAAAUAACCGGUCUGCUUUUAUUAAUAAAAGUGGUAUCUUGGUGUGUUUUUAGCAAUAAUGUCCUUUGAAAUGUUUUUUACUUUAUUGUAAAAAGCAAUUUUCAGGAUUUUUACUUUGAGAAAAUUAGAGUGUUUCAAGCAGGCUAACGUUUUGAAUACUGCAGCAUGGAAUAAUAAAAUAGGAUUUUAGUUCUACGUUAUUGGUUUUAAGAACUAAAUUAAUGAUUGAUAGGAGCAGUUGGGGGCAUUUGUAUUUAACUGUCAGAGGUG